This 1882-nucleotide small RNA is filed under the name Drosophila pseudoobscura pseudoobscura. RNAcentral describes it as "GA31543". The record is from RNAcentral. Lineage: Eukaryota; Metazoa; Arthropoda; Insecta; Diptera; Drosophilidae.
AAAAAUAGAAAAACAGAAAGAAAAUCAACAACAGAAAGAUUUCCUAAUCAAAAGCAUUUGGACUUUCGACUGUUUGUAAUAUUUACAACAUCAACAGCAACGUCAAGACCAAAUAAAUAAUUAAUACACCUUAUCAGCGAGCGAGCGAGAGAGCUAGUCCACUCGAAGCCACCUAUGACGUGGAGGCAUCGGUAUGCCGUUGCAUGGUCAACGUACGGUAUCGCAAACGCAAGAACGUAAGAACGUAAUUACUUUUGGCGCUGCACAUUGGAGCCAGACAAUCGAUGUUAUGGCGAAAAUUCGAAAAAUCAAGACUUAUCGCCGAUCACGUUCACCCGUGACGUGAUUAUUUGAUGGGUAUUUAUUCGUAUAUUUACUAUAUCUACUUAAAUUUCACUAAUUUUUCUGAAAAUAUGAAAAUAAAAUAAUGAUUUUGUUUCCUUGAAAUGUUCGAAUUUAUGACAAAAUAUCGCCUCUCUGGCCCAAUGUGCGCUGUCUCAGUCGAAAGCUGGCCCGAACCUAAUGAUAAUACCUACGAUCUAAUAAGGAGCACGUGAUGCGCAUACAACUGACCGACUAAUCAUUAAGAAACCAAAACCCCCAAGUGAAAUGAAAUGGAAUGGGAGUGGAAAUCGGUGGCAGUUGUAGCUCUGGCUCUGGCUCUGGCUCUAGACCCCUGGCUAGACAAAUUGCACAUAAUUUCUAGUCGAGUUAGCGCGGUCAGCCGGCAAAAAGUGCACCGAACCUGCCCAAAAGAACGGGACAGAGUGAUCGCACUACUGAAAGAGAGAGACGGCGAUACGGAGGGAGAGCCGCAUACAUAUGCACGUACCCGGGGGCCUACCACUUAGGUUAGUUAGACCCCGUUGACGACGUCGACUGCAAAUGCAACUGCAACAGCGGCUGCGGCAUCGGCAUCGGCAUCGGGAGGAUCCCAGCCAUUUCAUGAAAAAUUAUGUCGUGUACAAUUUUAUGCAUGAGAGACUUAUACAGCAGAAAAAAACAAAAAAAAACUGGGCAGAAAAAAAAUUAACAGUGUCUCGUCAGUUGCAUUUGCAGUUGUCGAGCGGCGGCCGGUGCACGGUGCAUGGCGCUGCACCGCCGCCAGGUUAGAUAAGCCACUGACGCCGCCGCCAUGCCGGCACCGUUGCAAUGGGCACACGCACACUCGACAGCCAUCUAGAAGACGGCGGCGAAAUGCCAGCCACUGCAACUGCAACUCCAACUGAAACUUCAGUGCACCGCACAGUGGGGCGAAACGGACCACAGAAAGCUGAAGAACUCUCUCACUAACUGCCUUGGAGAUCUUUGAGGGGUUGCGACUACCAACGACUAAAUUUCGGCGCUUAUUCCCUGAAACUCAUGCCAAAAGCAGCUGUACACACAUAUGUAUAUAAAGAGGUAUCAUAGAUCGGGGUCACCACUCUUAUACCACAGUGCCACAGUAAGGCUGGCAACGCUGGCUGCCGCCUGCAUUAGCAUACAAGUGUUGGAUAGCGUCAAUUGAAAAAGAGCAACAAUUGGCCCGCUAACGAACCGCCCGACAGACACAGACUCUUGACGCUGAUGAGGAGGAAUAGAGGGAGGAGUUGGUGGAAGAAAGCGCAUUCAAGCGUCUUCCGCAUCUUCCCUGGCUGCCACCGCCACCGCCACCCCACUCUAACCCGACCCACAUACCAGUUGGAUCCAUGGAUCCAUGGGUCUGUGUCUAUUACCGACCGCCGACAGCUUCAAAAGCGCCGGGGUGCUGCCGCUGCCGCUGCCACUGCCACUGCCACUACUGCUACUGCUUCUCUGAAGAUGUGGCGGGCGGACGUUUGUGCCGCAUCCUGAGCCCACACAUACUCGUAGGAGAAACCGAGAGGCUGCCAUAAUUAUAGCA